CACCGCGGUUAUACGAGAGGCCCAAGUUGAUAGACUACGGCGUAAAGCGUGGUUAAGAAACACAUUAAACUAAAGCCGAAUGCCCUCAGAGCUGUUAUACGCUCACGAUGGUCAGAAGCCCAAUCACGAAAGUAGCUUUACUUAACCUGAAGCCACGAAAGCUAUGACA
This 169-nucleotide ribosomal RNA is filed under the name Terapon jarbua (Jarbua terapon). RNAcentral's name for it is "partial 12S ribosomal RNA". Lineage: Eukaryota; Metazoa; Chordata; Actinopteri; Centrarchiformes; Terapontidae. The record is from RNAcentral.